ACGCUGGCGGCGUGCCUAAUACAUGCAAGUAGAACGCCGAAGAGAGGAGCUUGCUCUUCUUGGAUGAGUUGCGAACGGGUGAGUAACGCGUAGGUAACCUGCCUUGUAGCGGGGGAUAACUAUUGGAAACGAUAGCUAAUACCGCAUAACAAUGGGUGACACAUGUCAUUUAUUUGAAAGGGGCAAUUGCUCCACUACAAGAUGGACCUGCGUUGUAUUAGCUAGUAGGUGAGGUAACGGCUCACCUAGGCGACGAUACAUAGCCGACCUGAGAGGGUGAUCGGCCACACUGGGACUGAGACACGGCCCAGACUCCUACGGGAGGCAGCAGUAGGGAAUCUUCGGCAAUGGGGGCAACCCUGACCGAGCAACGCCGCGUGAGUGAAGAAGGUUUUCGGAUCGUAAAGCUCUGUUGUAAGUCAAGAACGAGUGUGAGAGUGGAAAGUUCACACUGUGACGGUAGCUUACCAGAAAGGGACGGCUAACUACGUGCCAGCAGCCGCGGUAAUACGUAGGUCCCGAGCGUUGUCCGGAUUUAUUGGGCGUAAAGCGAGCGCAGGCGGUUUGAUAAGUCUGAAGUUAAAGGCUGUGGCUCAACCAUAGUUCGCUUUGGAAACUGUCAAACUUGAGUGCAGAAGGGGAGAGUGGAAUUCCAUGUGUAGCGGUGAAAUGCGUAGAUAUAUGGAGGAACACCGGUGGCGAAAGCGGCUCUCUGGUCUGUAACUGACGCUGAGGCUCGAAAGCGUGGGGAGCGAACAGGAUUAGAUACCCUGGUAGUCCACGCCGUAAACGAUGAGUGCUAGGUGUUGGAUCCUUUCCGGGAUUCAGUGCCGCAGCUAACGCAUUAAGCACUCCGCCUGGGGAGUACGACCGCAAGGUUGAAACUCAAAGGAAUUGACCGGGGGCCCGCACAAGCGG
Molecule: ribosomal RNA, 918 nt
Filed under: uncultured bacterium
Lineage: Bacteria
Description: bacterial SSU rRNA
Rfam family: Bacterial small subunit ribosomal RNA
Source: RNAcentral